GGCGGGAUAGCUCAGCUGGUUAGAGCGUCGGAAUCAUAAUCCGUAGGUCGGGGGUUCGAGUCCCUCUCCCGCUA
This 74-nucleotide transfer RNA is filed under the name Bacteroidota bacterium. RNAcentral describes it as "Bacteroidetes bacterium (soil metagenome) tRNA-Met". It matches the Rfam family "tRNA". From Rfam's summary of the family: Transfer RNA (tRNA) molecules are approximately 80 nucleotides in length. Lineage: Bacteria; Pseudomonadati; Bacteroidota. The record is from RNAcentral.